Non-coding RNA from Gavialis gangeticus (Gharial), 82 nucleotides. The record is from the annotation of a RefSeq genome assembly. NCBI's taxonomy places the organism in Eukaryota, Metazoa, Chordata, Crocodylia, Gavialidae.
GACAAGGUGGCCAAGUGGUUAAGGCACUGGACUACUAAUACAUUGUGCUGUGCACAUGUGGGUUCAAAUCCCACCCUUGUCA